UGCAGUCGAGCGAAUGAUGAGGAGCUUGCUCCUCUGAUUUAGCGGCGGACGGGUGAGUAACACGUGGGUAAUCUGCCUGUAAGACGGGGAUAACUCCGGGAAACCGGGGCUAAUACCGGAUAAUAAGAGAAGAAGCAUUUCUUCUUUUUGAAAGUUGGUUUCGGCUGACACUUACAGAUGAGCCCGCGGCGCAUUAGCUAGUUGGUGAGGUAACGGCUCACCAAGGCGACGAUGCGUAGCCGACCUGAGAGGGUGAUCGGCCACACUGGGACUGAGACACGGCCCAGACUCCUACGGGAGGCAGCAGUAGGGAAUCUUCGGCAAUGGGCGAAAGCCUGACCGAGCAACGCCGCGUGAGCGAUGAAGGCCUUCGGGUCGUAAAGCUCUGUUGUUAGAGAAGAACAAGUACGAGAGUAACUGCUCGUACCUUGACGGUACCUAACCAGAAAGCCACGGCUAACUACGUGCCAGCAGCCGCGGUAAUACGUAGGUGGCAAGCGUUAUCCGGAAUUAUUGGGCGUAAAGCGCGCGCAGGCGGUCUCUUAAGUCUGAUGUGAAAGCCCACGGCUCAACCGUGGAGGGUCAUUGGAAACUGGGAGACUUGAGUGCAGGA
This 613-nucleotide ribosomal RNA is filed under the name Fictibacillus phosphorivorans. Its description in RNAcentral is "bacterial SSU rRNA". It matches the Rfam family "Bacterial small subunit ribosomal RNA", at positions 56 to 653 of the family's 1533-position model. Lineage: Bacteria; Bacillati; Bacillota; Bacilli; Caryophanales; Fictibacillaceae. The record is from RNAcentral.